Molecule: microRNA precursor, 61 nt
Filed under: Triops cancriformis
Lineage: Eukaryota; Metazoa; Arthropoda; Branchiopoda; Notostraca; Triopsidae
Description: microRNA tcf-mir-252b precursor
Gene: tcf-mir-252b
Source: miRBase by way of RNAcentral
CUAAGUAGUUGUGCCGCAGGUAACCGAUCCGAGUGCUUACCUGCACACGCCUGCUUACAUC